ACACAGGGAGAUCAUUUUGUGAGGAUGAAGGCAGGGAUCCGGGUGAUGCCUCUACCAGCCAAGGAACAACAACGAUGGGCAGCAAACCACCGGAAGCCAGGGGAGAAGCCUGGAACGCAUUCGCCCUCACCGGCCCCGAAAGGAACAGAUCCCAUAACGCUUUGAUCUCAGACUUCCAGCCUCCAGAACUGUGAGACAAUACAUUUCUGUUGUUGAAGCCACACAGUUUGUGGUAUUUUAUGACAGCAGCCUUAGCAAACUAAUACAUCUUUGUAUUUUAAAAUCACGGAUAGAAGAGUGUGGGUAUCCACUGAAACCACAAGCGGCUUCCCACAGGUUGUUUACGGUCAGCUUUAUGCUUAGAGGGAGGUGUGAGAGUCUCAUAGUAACACACAGAAAUCUGCAUUAUUUAUGACUAAAAGCAAAAGCAAAAUGUCUUGUUUGUCAGUCACUCCCCUCUAGGAGAGCAGACUUCACGGAGCUUGUCCACACCUUCCAGAGGAUUUAGAGUCUUGCGGAAAUUUAUUCCUAUUUUCCAUCUCCUUAGCUGACAUCUCACCCUCUGCUAUGAUGUCAAUUAAUG
Molecule: long non-coding RNA, 583 nt
Filed under: Homo sapiens (human)
Lineage: Eukaryota; Metazoa; Chordata; Mammalia; Primates; Hominidae
Description: novel transcript
Source: RNAcentral